CCGACGGUGAGGGAUGAAGGCUGGGGGCGCAAACCGGAUUAGAUACCCGGGUAGUCCCAGCAGUAAACGAUGCCAGCUAUGUGUUGCUGGAACCAUGGGUUCCAGCAGUGCCGAAGGGAAGCCGUGAAGCUGGCCACCUGGGAAGUACGGUCGCAAGGCUGAAACUUAAAGGAAUUGGCGGGGGAGUACCACAACCGGUGGAGCCUGCGGUUUAAUUGGAUACAACGCCGGGAAUCUUACCGGAGGGGACAGCAGUAUGAAGGCCAGGCUAAAGACCUUGCCAGAUCAGCUGAGAGGAGGUGCAUGGCCGUCGCCAGUUCGUACCGUGAGGCAUCCUGUUUAGUCAGGCAACGAUCGAGACCCGCAGUCUUAUUUGCCAGCAUGCCCUUUGGGGUGUAUGGGUACAAUAAGACGACCGCCAGCGCUAAGCUGGAGGAAGGAGCGGGCUACGGUAGGUCAGCAUGCCCCGAAUCCUCCGGGAUACACGCGGGCUACAAUGGUCAGGACAAAAGGUACCGACCUCGAAAGAGUGAGGUAAUCCAGAAACCUGAUC
Molecule: ribosomal RNA, 553 nt
Filed under: uncultured archaeon
Lineage: Archaea
Description: bacterial SSU rRNA
Rfam family: Archaeal small subunit ribosomal RNA
Source: RNAcentral